ACGAACGCUGGCGGCGUGCUUAACACAUGCAAGUCGAACGGAAAGGCCCUGCUUGCAGGGUACUCGAGUGGCGAACGGGUGAGUAACACGUGGGUGAUCUGCCCUGCACUUCGGGAUAAGCCUGGGAAACUGGGUCUAAUACCGGAUAUGACCUUCCAUGUAGUGUGGGGGGUGGAAAGAUUUAUCGGUGUGGGAUGAGCCCGCGGCCUAUCAGCUUGUUGGUGGGGUAAUGGCCUACCAAGGCGUCGACGGGUAGCCGGCCUGAGAGGGUGGACGGCCACAUUGGGACUGAGAUACGGCCCAGACUCCUACGGGAGGCAGCAGUGGGGAAUAUUGCACAAUGGGCGGAAGCCUGAUGCAGCGACGCCGCGUGGGGGAUGACGGCCUUCGGGUUGUAAACCUCUUUCGACAGGGACGAAGCUUCGGUGACGGUACCUGUAUAAGAAGCACCGGCUAACUACGUG
Molecule: ribosomal RNA, 464 nt
Filed under: uncultured bacterium
Lineage: Bacteria
Description: partial 16S ribosomal RNA
Rfam family: Bacterial small subunit ribosomal RNA
Source: RNAcentral